RNAcentral lists this ribosomal RNA (303 nucleotides) under uncultured bacterium. Its description in RNAcentral is "bacterial SSU rRNA". It matches the Rfam family "Bacterial small subunit ribosomal RNA", at positions 355 to 674 of the family's 1533-position model. The record is from RNAcentral.
UCGGGAAUAUUGCGCAAUGGAGGAAACUCUGACGCAGUGACGCCGCGUGCAGGAAGAAGGUUUUCGGAUUGUAAACUGCUUUAGACAGGGAAGAAAAAAGACAGUACCUGUAGAAUAAGCUCCGGCUAACUACGUGCCAGCAGCCGCGGUAAUACGUAGGGAGCAAGCGUUAUCCGGAUUUAUUGGGUGUAAAGGGUGCGUAGACGGAGAAGCAAGUUAGUUGUGAAAUCCCUCGGCUUAACUGAGGAACUGCAACUAAAACUACUUCCCUUGAGUGCUGGAGAGGAAAGUGGAAUUCCUAGU